RNAcentral lists this ribosomal RNA (519 nucleotides) under uncultured bacterium. Its description in RNAcentral is "bacterial SSU rRNA". It matches the Rfam family "Bacterial small subunit ribosomal RNA", at positions 28 to 529 of the family's 1533-position model. The record is from RNAcentral.
GAUGAACGCUGGCGGCGUGCCUAAUACAUGCAAGUCGAGCGAACAGAUAAGGAGCUUGCUCCUUUGAAGUUAGCGGCGGACGGGUGAGUAACACGUGGGUAACCUACCUAUAAGACUGGGAUAACUUCGGGAAACCGGAGCUAAUACCGGAUAACAUUUAGAACCGCAUGGUUCUAAAGUGAAAGAUGGUUUUGCUAUCACUUAUAGAUGGACCCGCGCCGUAUUAGCUAGUUGGUAAGGUAACGGCUUACCAAGGCGACGAUACGUAGCCGACCUGAGAGGGUGAUCGGCCACACUGGAACUGAGACACGGUCCAGACUCCUACGGGAGGCAGCAGUAGGGAAUCUUCCGCAAUGGGCGAAAGCCUGACGGAGCAACGCCGCGUGAGUGAUGAAGGGUUUCGGCUCGUAAAACUCUGUUAUUAGGGAAGAACAAAUGUGUAAGUAACUGUGCACAUCUUGACGGUACCUAAUCAGAAAGCCACGGCUAACUACGUGCCAGCAGCCGCGGUAAUACGUA